GAGAUGGGGCCCCGUAUAAUAAACGUGACGGGGGGCGGGGAUAGUGGUCCCCGCCCCGUGGAGACCCAUUUAAUUCCCGCCUAUGUAAAAUGACUAAAAUGCCCAUAUAUAUAUAUAUAACAUAAUGGAAGAAAGUGAAACCCUAGCCGUUUUCAUUUUUCAAUUCAGUGAAUUCACAAACCCAUAAACCCUUAACCCCUCUUCCAACCCCAUCCUCUGAAGUCUGAACCACCCACCGAGCCACCUCCCAGCCUCCCACCCGCUCAGUCCGUCACCCAUCCCCUCAGUCCGUCUUCCUCACCGCGACAUCUCAAUCUCUCACGAGUCACACACAGACACAUUGUGGAUCUCAUUCCCCUCACCGCCAGUCCAUCACGUUACGCACACCGGCACACCGCACCAGGGAGACCGUCGACUCUGAAGUCGUUGCUUCUUCCCGCGGAGGCGUGUUCGUCGGCGUGGUUCUGGUUCUGGUCGUGUUUUGGACGCCUCUUCGCGUUGGUCGCCGGCCGUUGUUCGUUCGCGUUCUGGUUCUUCUCCGCGUUGCUGGUAUUUCCAGGUACUGUACCUUCUCCGCAUUGCUGGUUUAUUGAUCAAUUUCACUUACAUACUGUUGCUCCCUGCAACUUGUUACUUCUGUUUUCAACUUUUUAAAGUGUAGAUAUUUUUAGAUUCAAAGCUAUUGGGUCUGAUUUGAAUGACAGAUUUGGAUUAUUUCAAUUCACUCCACAUUUAAGUAAACUUUAUAUUUUUUAUGUUGAGUUAUUGAGUCUGGUUUUUAUGAUUCUAGAAUCUUUAUAAUUUUACUUUGAUUUUAAUUUCUGAUGUUAAAUUGUUGAUUCAGAUUCCUAUGAUUAAUUCUGUGAGUUAGGUUAAGUAUAAUGAAUAUUUUUAAAGUUGAGUUAUUGAGUCUGGUUUCUAUGAUUUUGGAAUGUUUAUUUCACUUUGAUUUUGAUUUUUUGAUAUUAAAUUGUUGAUUUUGAUUCCUAUGAUUCAUAAAUUUUUAUUACUUACUUUGAUGUUGAAAGAUUUGUUAUGAUUUAUAUUUUUGAUGCUGAUUCUCAACUUUAUGUGUUUAUGUAAUUUUAGAAAAUGGAUAUGCUUAAGUGAUUAUGAUUCCUAUGAUUCCUAUGAUUCAUAAAUUUUUAUUUCUUUUCGAUGUAGGAUUCAAGUAGGUCGGAAUCUACCAUCACUACCAUUACGGGAUGAAAGAAAGAUUGAGAUAGUGGAAUUAUAUUUUUACGACGUGAUGAACUUUGUUUAUGGAUAUGGUUG
RNAcentral lists this long non-coding RNA (1275 nucleotides) under Arachis ipaensis. RNAcentral describes it as "long non-coding RNA (AIPA_LNC000584)". The record is from RNAcentral. Lineage: Eukaryota; Viridiplantae; Streptophyta; Magnoliopsida; Fabales; Fabaceae.